RNAcentral lists this transfer RNA (61 nucleotides) under Caprella scaura. Its description in RNAcentral is "tRNA-Asp". Lineage: Eukaryota; Metazoa; Arthropoda; Malacostraca; Amphipoda; Caprellidae. The record is from RNAcentral.
UAAAAACUAGUUAAAUAUAUAACAUUAGCUUGUCAAGCUAAAAUUACCAAAGUGUUUUUAA